RNAcentral lists this ribosomal RNA (428 nucleotides) under uncultured bacterium. RNAcentral's name for it is "partial 16S ribosomal RNA". It matches the Rfam family "Bacterial small subunit ribosomal RNA", at positions 354 to 796 of the family's 1533-position model. The record is from RNAcentral.
GUAGGGAAUAUUGCGCAAUGGGGGAAACCCUGACGCAGCGACGCCGCGUGAGUGAUGAAGGCCUUCGGGUCGUAAAGCUCUGUUGCAGGGGAAUAAAAAAAUGAAGGUACCCUGUGAGGAAGGAUCGGCUAACUUCGUGCCAGCAGCCGCGGUAAGACGAGGGAUCCUAGCGUGUCUCGGAAUCAUUGGGCGUAAAGAGGGCGUAGGUGGCUUGGUAAGUCAGGGGUGAAAGCCCAGGGCUCAACCCUGGAAGUGCAUUUGAUACUGCUGAGCUUGAGUGUCGGAGAGGUUACCGGAAUACCUGGUGUAGUGGUGAAAUACGUAGAUAUCAGGUGGAACACCGGAGGCGAAGGCGGGUAACUGGACGAACACUGACACUGAGGCCCGAAAGCGUGGGGAUCAAACAGGAUUAGAAACCCGGGUAGUCC